AUAAGGUAUCUACACCUGAAUAAAAUAGGGUGUAAGAAGCGAACGCAGGGAACUGAAACAUCUAAGUACCUGCAGGAAAGGACAUCAACCGAGACUAC
This 98-nucleotide ribosomal RNA is filed under the name Martinezella rhizogenes. RNAcentral's name for it is "Agrobacterium rhizogenes partial 23S rRNA 1.3-kb fragment A". It matches the Rfam family "Bacterial large subunit ribosomal RNA", at positions 143 to 238 of the family's 2925-position model. The record is from RNAcentral. Lineage: Bacteria; Pseudomonadati; Pseudomonadota; Alphaproteobacteria; Hyphomicrobiales; Rhizobiaceae.